Scomber japonicus (chub mackerel) is the source of this 551-nucleotide long non-coding RNA. RefSeq lists it as uncharacterized. The record is from RefSeq and is a predicted model, not a curated record. The transcript has 5 exons. NCBI's taxonomy places the organism in Eukaryota, Metazoa, Chordata, Actinopteri, Scombriformes, Scombridae.
AAAACAGACCGAAUAAAACAGCACAGACUGAAGUCCACAACAAGAGUGAUUGUGUGGAGGAAGAGGAGGACAGAUCUGAUAUAGAAUCUGGCUAUCAGACUAUGGACGGUGACCAAACUAAAAAAAACCCUCCAGACAGCACGGUAACAUUUGAAUAAAAUCUGUUUGCUGUUUCCAGAGAUCAGCACUACACUCAUAGAGCAGAUUCUUUACCACCCAGUUGUCCUUCUGUGAAGAGUGAUGUCUCUAAAGAAGAGCCUCCAUUCUUCAGUAAUGAACCUGGACCCUCAGACUCAAAAGAUCAGCACUACACUCAUAGAGCAGAUUCUUUACCACCCAGUUGUCUUUCUGUGAAGAGUGAUGUCUCUAAAGAAGAGCCUCCAUUCUUCAGUGAUGAACCUGGACCCUCAGACUCAAAUACUCAGGAGCAGCUGACCUGCUGUUUGUGUCAGGACGUACUGAAGGAUCCAAUCUCUACCAGCUGUGGACACUGGUUCUGCAGACAGUGCAUCACCUCAUACUGGGACCAGUCGCCUUCAUCAGAAGACUCC